RNAcentral lists this ribosomal RNA (285 nucleotides) under Trebouxiaceae sp. M-015. RNAcentral's name for it is "partial small subunit ribosomal RNA". It matches the Rfam family "Eukaryotic small subunit ribosomal RNA", at positions 598 to 888 of the family's 1831-position model. The record is from RNAcentral. Lineage: Eukaryota; Viridiplantae; Chlorophyta; Trebouxiophyceae; Trebouxiales; Trebouxiaceae.
CGUAUAUUUAAGUUGUUGCAGUUAAAAAGCUCGUAGUUGGAUUUCGGAUGGGGCUGAUCGGUCCACCUAUCGGUGCGCACUGAUCGUGCCCCAUCUCGCUGUCGGGGACGGGCUGCUGGGCUUAAUUGUUCGGCACCCGGAGUCGACGACGUCACUUUGAGUAAAUUAGAGUGUUCAAAGCAGGCCUACGCUCUGAAUACGUUAGCAUGGAAUGACACGAUAGGACUCUGGCUUAUCCUGUUGGUCUGUGAGACCGGAGUAAUGAUUAAGAGGGACAGUCGGGGG